This 912-nucleotide small RNA is filed under the name Oryza sativa Japonica Group (Japanese rice). Its description in RNAcentral is "sRNA Os02g0753850". The record is from RNAcentral. Lineage: Eukaryota; Viridiplantae; Streptophyta; Magnoliopsida; Poales; Poaceae.
UCUGUUGUACUAGCAAUGCGAUGCCUAUGCUCAACACAAUUGGCCAAUCGAUACAAGGCAUCUCUUAUGCGAGCUUUGGAUGCCACUAUACCUGAUUCAUGCCUUCCUGAAGCUUAUGGAAGCCAAGAUCCUUAACUGGCACAGCUUCUAGAAUCAGUGGUGAGCAAGGGUUCACACAUAAGUCUGCUGAAGUCUUUCCCUUCGAGAGGAACUGUAAGUCUGCACUUUUCAGAACAUCGUCACCUGCAAAUCCUUCAGGAAACUGGUGUGUUUGUGUCAAAGUAACGUUAUUCAGAUGUUCUGGGUGUUCAUAUGCAGUCAAUGAUGGAGGGAAAUACAUCUCUAGUGGAUUUCCAGCCAUUUCGUCGAGGAUCAUGUCUGGAGUUCCAUUCAGUGGAUCAUGAGAUCUCUUCAUCGAACGCGGAACGUAGGUUGCAACGAGAUCCGGUGCUGAGAAAGUCGAUGAAGAUACAAUUUCAUCAUCACACAUGAUGCUUGAUGUUGUUGGGGCUAGCAUUUCCUGAUUUGUGCAAAAGAUAGCCUCUAGUCCCUCACAGCCACUUAUGCGUUCCGAGCUUGUUACAUUGUCAAAUGGGUAGAAAACAUCAACAUCUGAAUGUUGUGAAAAUCGCUCGAUUUCCCCGGAAGAACAGGCAAGUGCUUCAUGAUUCAAAACUUUGUUGUGCUCUCAUUCGAAACAGUUGACAAAUUGGUAUUGUCCAAGAGACAGCUGCUUGGUACUAGCUGGGCAUCUGGUAAGCAAACUGAAGACCACAGUGGAUCUUCAAAGUGAUUACUUCCUAUCUCAAACGCAGCAAGAGAUUACCUCAGAUCUGCUUCGAGGUCAUCCAAGUUGAGCAGUUCAGACCAAUCACAGUAUAACAAAUCUUUCCCUUUGUUCCUGUGCUCAUC